GACGAACGCUGGCGGCGUGCCUAAUACAUGCAAGUCGAGCGAAUCGAUGGGAGCUUGCUUCCAGAGGUUAGCGGCGGACGGGUGAGUAACACGUGGGUAACCUGCCUGUAAGAUUGGGAUAACUCCGGGAAACCGGAGCUAAUACCGGAUAACAUUUUGAACCGCAUGGUUCAGAAUUGAAAGAUGGUUUCGGCUAUCACUUACAGAUGGACCCGCGGCGCAUUAGCUAGUUGGUGAGGUAACGGCUCACCAAGGCAACGAUGCGUAGCCGACCUGAGAGGGUGAUCGGCCACACUGGGACUGAGACACGGCCCAGACUCCUACGGGAGGCAGCAGUAGGGAAUCUUCCGCAAUGGACGAAAGUCUGACGGAGCAACGCCGCGUGAACGAUGAAGGCCUUCGGGUCGUAAAGUUCUGUUGUUAGGGAAGAACAAGUACCAGAGUAACUGCUGGUACCUUGACGGUACCUAACCAGAAAGCCACGGCUAACUACGUGCCAGCAGCCGCGGUAAUACGUANGUGGCAAGCGUUGUCCGGA
This 538-nucleotide ribosomal RNA is filed under the name uncultured soil bacterium. RNAcentral describes it as "bacterial SSU rRNA". It matches the Rfam family "Bacterial small subunit ribosomal RNA", at positions 28 to 549 of the family's 1533-position model. The record is from RNAcentral.